Molecule: long non-coding RNA, 379 nt
Organism: Etheostoma cragini (Arkansas darter)
Lineage: Eukaryota; Metazoa; Chordata; Actinopteri; Perciformes; Percidae
Exons: 3
Source: RefSeq, a predicted model, not a curated record
ACGUGUGUUACAAAGUGACGCACAUUUGUCACGGAAGUGAAGGCUGGGCUAGAAUAGAGCUGUUUGGAGCAGUUUGUGAACAGUGUUUUCUGUUAGAGUCCCUUUGGACUUUCUCACUUUGUAAACCUAUAACGUGCACAAAAAGGUACUUAACACAAUAAAGGAACGGGAAGAAGCCAAAAAGCAUAAUAUGAGCACAUUAAAGUGUACUCAGUUCUGCUGCUUUCAGUAUUCUGCUGAAACCCAACAACUUGCUUGUUAAAUUUAACACUAACAAAGGGAAAUUACUUCUAAUAUUUUAUUAAACAAGAUUUAAACGUUGAAUUGAGUAUAAAAGGCACCAGUAAAAAAAAGAUUUUAAAAACAGUUACAUUCUAAA